This 441-nucleotide ribosomal RNA is filed under the name uncultured bacterium. RNAcentral describes it as "SSU rRNA". It matches the Rfam family "Bacterial small subunit ribosomal RNA", at positions 26 to 518 of the family's 1533-position model. The record is from RNAcentral.
AGAACGAACGCUGGCGGCAGGCUUAACACAUGCAAGUCGAACGCCCCGCAAGGGGAGUGGCAGACGGGUGAGUAACGCGUGGGAAUCUACCCAGUUCUACGGAAUAACACAGGGAAACUUGUGCUAAUACCGUAUACGCCCUACGGGGGAAAGAUUUAUCGGGAUUGGAUGAGCCCGCGUUGGAUUAGCUAGUUGGUGGGGUAAUGGCCUACCAAGGCGACGAUCCAUAGCUGGUCUGAGAGGAUGAUCAGCCACACUGGGACUGAGACACGGCCCAGACUCCUACGGGAGGCAGCAGUGGGGAAUAUUGGACAAUGGGCGCAAGCCUGAUCCAGCCAUGCCGCGUGAGUGAUGAAGGCCUUAGGGUUGUAAAGCUCUUUCAGUGGGAAGAUAAUGACGGUACCACAGAAGAAGCCCGGCUAACUUCGCGCCAGCAGCCGC